RNAcentral lists this long non-coding RNA (1885 nucleotides) under Salvia miltiorrhiza (redroot sage). RNAcentral's name for it is "long non-coding RNA (SMIL_LNC006044)". The record is from RNAcentral. Lineage: Eukaryota; Viridiplantae; Streptophyta; Magnoliopsida; Lamiales; Lamiaceae.
GAAGCUGUAAGUUAUAUAAACGACAUUCAAUAAUAACUUUAUCUAAGCAUCAUAUUUAUAUAUAUAAAAAGGUGGAGUACAUGCAAAACCAUCAAGUUUAAUAUUAUAAUUAACGUGUUCGAGGCACAGCUCGUAACUACACAUACGGUAAACAAAAUAUAUAUAUUCGGUCACAGCCGUCAUCAAAAUGCAUGAUCAUAAACCAAUAUAUAUAAAGUCUCGACCCACCAAAAUUGGAAGAGGCUAAGUUGGUUAGUAGCAAGAUAUAUUUACCAAAAACAUCAACAUAUAAUACUUCAUCAUAUAAUAGAACGGGAGAAUGUGGAGCUCCAUGUCUGCCGUCUUGCCGUCAACUCCUUAACCUGAAAAGAAUCAUAAAUAAUAGGGCAUGAGUGUGCAAGCACACUCAGUGGGGUAAACACUGCAAGCAGUUAUAACCAAUUGUGUAAUGAAUCAUAACAUGUUGAACUCUUAUAAUUUUUCACUUAGCUGACAUCUUGUGAGACUAGUCUCGGUCCCUUGUGGACCUGACCCCUUGUGGGCCGUUCAGCUCUUUGAUCCCUUGUGGAUCCGACCCCUUGUGGGUCCCAUUAGUUCAUAUGAAUGACGCACAACACAACAAUGAUUAUAACCAUGUAACAACUACGCUUACAGAUAAAAGUAAACCCCACCUUAAGUGAUUGAAUUCAAACCUCUUCAAGCUUGCUUCGGUUGUCCUCCUCGAGCCUUGGAUGCGCCGCUCCUAGCACUUGAAACACUUUAAACUUAGUUUCAUUACAAGCACUUAUUCUUGAAUAAGCUCUCAUUUCUUUAAACAAUAUUUUUAAUCUCUCUUGAAUAUAUUCUUGAAAAUUCUACAAUACACUUGAAGCCGAAGACCAUAUUUGAACAUUUUAUGAAUCUACAAAUUAUAAAUCCAUAGUUCAAUUACUAGUAUAAAUUAUACUAAUCUAACUUCAUUAUAAUCAUAUCAUUUAAUUAUAUAAUAUACUAAGUUUAGAUCACCAUAAUCCUUAUAAUUUAUUUCAAUUCUUGGCUAAUAAUAUUAAAAGAAAAUGUCUUGAUUAUCUAUUUAUGUGUUCAAGGUGAAACAAUCAUCAAAAAUCUAAUUCAAAUGCCCAAAUAAAAAUUAAAAUAAGCAUAACAUAUUAAAACUCAUAUUCGACACGUAAGGAGCUACAUCUCGACGUCUAUUCCGGCCAAUUCGACCUUAGAUCUCAAGAAGAAAACCUAUGAUUAGAACGUCUACGACAUGAGCUACAAAACCCCUAAACUUAUUCUCCCUCACGGCGUCGAUUUGACGCCGGAAAGUAGUCUCAAACUCGCGCGGAGACAAUCCCGCACAGACCCGACACCCUGACUUGAUUGGCUCAUAACUCCCUCGUCCGGUGUCGGAUUGACGAUCCGAAGGUACCGUUGGAAAGCCAACGACGAUAGCUUUCCAAUGGUACCUAUAUUGAUGGGGUUUGAUGACAGAAAACAGAUGAAAAACGGAUCGCAAGAUACGAUCCUGCUGCUGUCAAAAACAGGGGAAAAAUAAAGCACAGAAAAACACAUGCCGGCAGCCACCACGCCGCCGGAACCACUGUUCCGGUAAUCCCUCCUCCUCACUCCCACACAAGAGACUCCAUCCCACCAAUAUCUACUCAAGACCUUUAGCCAUCGAUUAAGAAGAACAAGAAUGGAAGAGAAGUGAUAAACCCUUUCAAAUUCAACAAUCAAAAUUGAGAAAAAAACAAGUAAUGGAUUAGAAGAAAUUACCUUAAUUAGCUGCUGGAAAUUAAAUGAGAGAAUGAGUGAAGAGUGGUGAUAUGCAAGGAAUGAGAGAGUGAGAGAUUGGAGAGAUAUGAGUGUAGGAAAAAAAAUAAGACUCCUUCAUGUAUAU